Molecule: ribosomal RNA, 644 nt
Filed under: Leptonia newlingii
Lineage: Eukaryota; Fungi; Basidiomycota; Agaricomycetes; Agaricales; Entolomataceae
Description: partial large subunit ribosomal RNA
Rfam family: Eukaryotic large subunit ribosomal RNA
Source: RNAcentral
GCAUAUCAAUAAGCGGAGGAAAAGAAACUAACAAGGAUUCCCCUAGUAACUGCGAGUGAAGCGGGAAAAGCUCAAAUUUGAAAUCUGGUAGUCUUUGGCUGCCCGAGUUGUAAUCUAGAGAAGCGUUAUCCGCGCUGGACCGUGUAUAAGUCUCCUGGAAUGGAGCGUCAUAGAGGGUGAGAAUCCCGUCUUUGACACGGACUCCCAGGGCUUUGUGAUGCGCUCUCAAAGAGUCGAGUUGUUUGGGAAUGCAGCUCUAAAUGGGUGGUAAAUUCCAUCUAAAGCUAAAUAUUGGCGAGAGACCGAUAGCGAACAAGUACCGUGAGGGAAAGAUGAAAAGAACUUUGGAAAGAGAGUUAAACAGUACGUGAAAUUGUUGAAAGGGAAACGCUUGAAGUCAGUCGCGUUGGCCAGGGAUCAACCUUGCUUUUGCUUGGUGUACUUUCUGGUUAAUGGGUCAGCAUCAAUUUUGACCAGUGGAAAAAGGUUAGGGGAAUGUGGCAUCUUCGGAUGUGUUAUAGCCUCUGAUUGUAUACAUUGGUUGGGAUUGAGGAACUCAGCACGCCGCAAGGCCGGGUUUUACCACGUUCGUGCUUAGGAUGCUGGCAUAAUGGCUUUAAUCGACCCGUCUUGAAACACGGACC